CCUCAGCACCUUUAUUUAUAGUGUAGAUAAGGAAACCGGAAGAGGAGGCCUGAUUGGAGCAGGGAGAGUGGCUCUGGCCUGCAGGAGACAGUGCUUGAUGUUUCUCUGGCUUCUGUGGCCACGCCCUCUUCCCCCCAUGCCCUCCGAGGGAGGAGGCCAGUCCGUAGUGAUCUACAGCACAUCGCUCCCAGCACGAGACAUUUCUUGUAAAGGAACUGCAGAGUCACCCUGGAGUGCGUGUUCUGCGCGUGCGUCUUGGGUCUCCAUGGCUGGCAGGCGCUUACCAGAUUUGCCCCGCUCGGAUCUCCUGCCUCACCUGGACACUCCUGGCCGCGGUGUCUACACUUCUGUCCUCCCAGGCUCGCCUUGCCUUCCCAAGGGAGCAGGAGCUCCAGAAACGCCUGCCCCCAGCCACCUUCUGAAGCUGCUGGGACGGGGCAGGCAGGCGAGAAGCUCAGCCCAGGCGCAGAAAGGACUGGAAACCAGCAGCUCAGGGCUGGUGACUCACGCUCCUCCAGCCCUGCCCCACCCUCUGACGCCCCUUGCCUCAGCCUCCACACGCGCAUCCGUCACUUAGCCAGCAGCCUUUCCUUCUGCCUGGCACUGUGCUGGCAUUUGUUAAUUAUUUCAGUUUAUUCUCUGAAAAGUACCUCCCAAAGCCUACCUGCAAAUAUUAAAAUAAAAUAAAAUGAGCAGCGGUUUAGAA
Heterocephalus glaber (naked mole-rat) is the source of this 706-nucleotide non-coding RNA. The record is from RefSeq and is a predicted model, not a curated record. Lineage: Eukaryota; Metazoa; Chordata; Mammalia; Rodentia; Bathyergidae.